GCCCCCAUGGUCUAGCUGGUUAGGGCAUCGGUCUCAUAAUCCGAAAAUCGUGGGUUCGAUCCCCACUGGAGGCA
This 74-nucleotide transfer RNA is filed under the name Cordyceps militaris CM01. Its description in RNAcentral is "tRNA-Met (CAT) (tRNA-Met-CAT-2-1)". It matches the Rfam family "tRNA". From Rfam's summary of the family: Transfer RNA (tRNA) molecules are approximately 80 nucleotides in length. Their secondary structure includes four short double-helical elements and three loops (D, anti-codon, and T loops). Lineage: Eukaryota; Fungi; Ascomycota; Sordariomycetes; Hypocreales; Cordycipitaceae. The record is from RNAcentral.